GAUGAAGACGCAGCGAAAUGCGAUAAGUAAUGUGAAUUGCAGAAUUCCGUGAAUCAUCGAAUCUUUGAACGCACAUUGCGCCCGCCAGUAUUCUGGCGGGCAUGCCUGUCCGAGCGUCAUUUCAACCCUCGAACCCCUCCGGGGGGUCGGCGUUGGGGACCUCGGGAGCCCCUAAGACGGGAUCCCGGCCCCGAAAUACAGUGGCGGUCUCGCCGCAGCCUCUCCUGCGCAGUAGUUUGCACAACUCGCACCGGGAGCGCGGCGCGUCCACGUCCGUAAAACACCCAACUUCUGAAAUGUUGACCUCGGAUCAGGUAGGAAUACCCGCUGAACUUAAGCAUAUCAAUAAGCGGAGGA
This 357-nucleotide unclassified non-coding RNA is filed under the name soil metagenome. Its description in RNAcentral is "partial contains 5.8S ribosomal RNA, internal transcribed spacer 2, and large subunit ribosomal RNA". The stretch from base 1 to 119 matches the Rfam family "5.8S ribosomal RNA", at positions 35 to 154 of the family's 154-position model. The record is from RNAcentral.